This 292-nucleotide ribosomal RNA is filed under the name uncultured bacterium. RNAcentral's name for it is "partial 16S ribosomal RNA". It matches the Rfam family "Bacterial small subunit ribosomal RNA", at positions 505 to 796 of the family's 1533-position model. The record is from RNAcentral.
GUGCCAGCCGCCGCGGUAAUACAGAGGGUGCAAGCGUUGUUCGGAAUUACUGGGCGUAAAGCGCGUGUAGGCGGCCUGGCAAGUUGGGUGUGAAAUCCCUCGGCUCAACCGAGGAACUGCAUUCAAAACUACUAGGCUAGAGUAUCGGAGGGGGUGGCGGAAUUCCCGGUGUAGAGGUGAAAUUCGUAGAUAUCGGGAGGAACACCUGUGGCGAAGGCGGCCACCUGGAAGAUUACUGACGCUGAGACGCGAAAGCGUGGGGAGCAAACAGGAUUAGAUACCCUGGUAGUCC